This 458-nucleotide ribosomal RNA is filed under the name uncultured microorganism. RNAcentral's name for it is "bacterial SSU rRNA". It matches the Rfam family "Bacterial small subunit ribosomal RNA", at positions 346 to 795 of the family's 1533-position model. The record is from RNAcentral.
GGGCUGCAGUGAGGAAUCUUGCGCAAUGGGGGCAACCCUGACGCAGCAACGCCGCGUGAGUGAGGAAGGUCUUCGGAUCGUAAAGCUCUGUCAGUUGGGAAGAACCACCUGAGGGUUAAUACCCCUUGGGCUUGACGGUACCAACAGAGGAAGCACCGGCUAACUACGUGCCAGCAGCCGCGGUAAUACGUAGGGUGCGAGCGUUAAUCGGAAUUACUGGGCGUAAAGCGUGCGCAGGCGGAUUGUUAAGCAAGAUGUGAAAUCCCCGGGCUUAACCUGGGAAUGGCAUUUUGAACUGGCAGUCUAGAGUGUGUCAGAGGGGGGUGGAAUUCCACGUGUAGCAGUGAAAUGCGUAGAUAUGUGGAGGAACACCAAUGGCGAAGGCAGCCCCCUGGGAUAACACUGACGCUCAUGUACGAAAGCGUGGGUAGCAAACAGGAUUAGAUACCCUUGUANUC